RNAcentral lists this ribosomal RNA (440 nucleotides) under uncultured bacterium. RNAcentral describes it as "partial 16S ribosomal RNA". It matches the Rfam family "Bacterial small subunit ribosomal RNA", at positions 338 to 795 of the family's 1533-position model. The record is from RNAcentral.
CCUACGGGUGGCAGCAGUGGGGAAUAUUGCACAAUGGGGGAAACCCUGAUGCAGCGACGCCGCGUGAGUGAAGAAGUAUUUCGGUACGUAAAGCUCUAUCAGCAGGGAAGAAAAUGACGGUACCUGACUAAGAAGCCCCGGCCAACUACGUGCCAGCAGCCGCGGUAAUACGUAGGGGGCAAGCGUUAUCCGGAUUUACUGGGUGUAAAGGGAGCGUAGACGGCAGCGCAAGUCUGGAGUGAAAUCCCAUGGCUUAACCAUGGAACUGCUUUGGAAACUGUGCAGCUAGAGUGCAGGAGAGGUAAGCGGAAUUCCUAGUGUAGCGGUGAAAUGCGUAGAUAUUAGGAGGAACACCAGUGGCGAAGGCGGCUUACUGGACUGCAACUGACGUUGAGGCUCGAAAGCGUGGGGAGCAAACAGGAUUAGAUACCCGGGUAGUC